Molecule: long non-coding RNA, 253 nt
Filed under: Hordeum vulgare
Lineage: Eukaryota; Viridiplantae; Streptophyta; Magnoliopsida; Poales; Poaceae
Description: long non-coding RNA (HVUL_LNC004555)
Source: RNAcentral
CUUGUCAAACAGAUGAUGACUUAUUUCUCAUCACAUGAAAUUACAGGAUAUUUGAGGCAAUCAAAUCUCUUUCUAGCUUAUACGUACCAUUUACUUUUUUAUGAAAAUCCAAGACAAUAUAUAAAGUAGACACUUUAGCCUAAUAUUAUACUGGAGAAACAGGAGACAUGCAUGUCCUAAUGAAAGAGAUAUACAGGUUUUGUUUGGGGGUUUGACAUAGAACCAAGCUGGAGCAGUACAGAGGAAAAAAAAC